Molecule: ribosomal RNA, 324 nt
Filed under: uncultured Methanosaeta sp.
Lineage: Archaea; Methanobacteriati; Methanobacteriota; Methanomicrobia; Methanotrichales; Methanotrichaceae
Description: bacterial SSU rRNA
Rfam family: Archaeal small subunit ribosomal RNA
Source: RNAcentral
CUGUGAAGCAUCCUGUUAAGUCAGGCAACGAGCGAGACCCACGCCCACAGUUGCCAGCGUACUCUCUGGAGUGACGGGUACGACUGUGGGGACCGCCGCUGCUAAAGCGGAGGAAGGAAUGGGCAACGGUAGGUCAGUAUGCCCCGAAUAUCCCGGGCUACACGCGAGCUACAAUGGUUGGUACAAUGGGUAUCUACCCGAAAGGGACGGGAAUCUCCUAAAACCAAUCUUAGUUCGGAUUGAGGGCUGCAACUCGCCCUCAUGAAGCUGGAAUCCGUAGUAAUCGCGUUUCAACAGAACGCGGUGAAUACGUCCCUGCUCCUU